GGGAAUGUGGCUUAGUGGUGAAGUGUUUGCCUAGCGUGCAUGAGCCUCUGGGUUCAAUUCCUCAUUACCA
RNAcentral lists this transfer RNA (70 nucleotides) under Dipodomys ordii (Ord's kangaroo rat). It matches the Rfam family "tRNA". From Rfam's summary of the family: Transfer RNA (tRNA) molecules are approximately 80 nucleotides in length. Their secondary structure includes four short double-helical elements and three loops (D, anti-codon, and T loops). Lineage: Eukaryota; Metazoa; Chordata; Mammalia; Rodentia; Heteromyidae. The record is from Rfam by way of RNAcentral.